Molecule: ribosomal RNA, 496 nt
Filed under: Aleochara pacifica
Lineage: Eukaryota; Metazoa; Arthropoda; Insecta; Coleoptera; Staphylinidae
Description: partial 16S ribosomal RNA
Rfam family: Bacterial large subunit ribosomal RNA
Source: RNAcentral
UAAUUUAAAGUCUAGCCUGCCCAAUGAUAAUUUUAAUGGCCGCAGUAUUUUGACUGUGCAAAGGUAGCAUAAUCAUUAGUUUCUUAAUUAGAAACUAGAAUGAAAGGUUGAACGAGAAAGUAACUGUCUCUUUAUAAUUUUUUUAGAAUUUUAUUUUUAAGUUAAAAAGCUUAAAUAAUUUUGGAAGACGAGAAGACCCUAUAGAGUUUAAUAUUUUAUUAAUUAAAUUUUAAAAUAGAAUUAUAUUUAUUUGAUUAAGAAAAAUAUUUGAUUGGGGUGAUUGAAAAAUUUAAUUAACUUUUUUUUUAUUAUAACAUAUAUAAAUGAUUAAUUGAUCCAUUAUUGAUGAUUAUAAGAUUAAAUUACCUUAGGGAUAACAGCGUAAUUUUUUUUAAGAGUUCUUAUCGAUAAAAAAGUUUGCGACCUCGAUGUUGGAUUAAAAUUAAUUUUUGGUGUAGAAGCUAAAAUAUUAGGUCUGUUCGACCUUUAAAAUUUU